RNAcentral lists this ribosomal RNA (222 nucleotides) under uncultured Glomeromycotina. RNAcentral describes it as "partial 18S ribosomal RNA". The stretch from base 37 to 222 matches the Rfam family "Eukaryotic small subunit ribosomal RNA", at positions 684 to 872 of the family's 1831-position model. The record is from RNAcentral. Lineage: Eukaryota; Fungi; Glomeromycota.
GGAUUAAUUUAUUGGUCGUGCUAUUGUACGUACUGGUAUUAUUGAUUCCUACCUUCUGACGAACCACGAUGUCAUUAAUUUGGUGUCAUGGGGAAUCAGGACUGUUACAUUGAAAAAUUAGAGUGUUUAAAGCAGGCUCACGCUUGAAUACAUUAGCAUGGAAUAACGAAAUAGGACGUUUGAUUCUAUUUUGCUGGUUUCUAGGAUUGACAUAAUGAUUAA